Molecule: ribosomal RNA, 253 nt
Filed under: uncultured Haloferula sp.
Lineage: Bacteria; Pseudomonadati; Verrucomicrobiota; Verrucomicrobiia; Verrucomicrobiales; Verrucomicrobiaceae
Description: partial 16S ribosomal RNA
Rfam family: Bacterial small subunit ribosomal RNA
Source: RNAcentral
UACGAAGGUCCCAAGCGUUGUUCGGAAUUACUGGGCGUAAAGAGUCUGUAGGCGGUUGGGUAAGUCAGAUGUGAAAUCCCGGGGCUCAACCCCGGAACUGCAUCCGAUACUGCCUGACUGGAGUGUUGGAGGGGGAACUGGAAUUCUCGGUGUAGCAGUGAAAUGCGUAGAUAUCGAGAGGAACACUAGUGGCGAAGGCGAGUUCCUGGACAACCACUGACGCUGAGAGACGAAGGCCAGGGGAGCAAAAAGG